AAAACUUGAUCUUCGAGAUGAUAAGCAAUUCUUCAUAGACCAUCCAGGUGCCGUGCCAAUUACUACUGCUCAGGGUGAAGAGCUGAGGAAAACAAUUGGUGCACCUUCCUACAUUGAAUGUAGUUCAAAAACACAGGAGAAUGUAAAAGGAGUAUUUGAUGCUGCCAUUAAAGUUGUGCUCCAGCCACCCAAGGCAAAGAAAAAGAAAGGGAAGUCCCAAAGGGCCUGCUCAAUUUUGUGAUCAACAGUUGGUCCGGGGUUAUUCCUGGUCACAGUUUUCACACGUUGUAAUCUGUCCCCUCAUAUCUGUUUCUGUUUUCCUUUUUGCGGAAGAAGUAAGAGGUCAUUGUAUGUCUCACUUGAAGCUGCUGGUGAUCUCUUGAAGUGUCAGGUGGCUCGAUCUCUUGUUGUAUUGCUGUGAUCUCUGAUUACUGAGUUUCACAACACGCUCCAGGCCACUCUAUUUUAUCCUCGCUGUUUUGAUUUGUUUUAUGUAUUACUGACUGAAAGAUCAAUUUAGGAAAACAAAUUUUCUCAGCAAUGUUGUUUAGCAUUUCUUACAUUUUUAUUUUGAUUUAAAAACUUUGGAAUGUUGAACACCCUUCCUAG
This 609-nucleotide unclassified non-coding RNA is filed under the name Hevea brasiliensis (rubber tree). The record is from RNAcentral. Lineage: Eukaryota; Viridiplantae; Streptophyta; Magnoliopsida; Malpighiales; Euphorbiaceae.